UGGAGAGUUUGAUCCUGGCUCAGGACGAACGCUGGCGGCGUGCUUAACACAUGCAAGUCGAACGGAAAGGCCCCUUCGGGGGUACUCGAGUGGCGAACGGGUGAGUAACACGUGGGUGAUCUGCCCUGCACUUUGGGAUAAGCCUGGGAAACUGGGUCUAAUACCGAAUAGGACCGCGCGCUUCAUGGUGUGUGGUGGAAAGCUUUUGCGGUGUGGGAUGGGCCCGCGGCCUAUCAGCUUGUUGGUGGGGUAAUGGCCUACCAAGGCGACGACGGGUAGCCGGCCUGAGAGGGUGUCCGGCCACACUGGGACUGAGAUACGGCCCAAACUCCUACGGGAGGCAGCAGUGGGGAAUAUUGCACAAUGGGCGCAAGCCUGAUGCAACAACGCCGCGUGGGGGAUGACGGCCUUCGGGUUGUAAACCUCUUUCAGUAUCGGCGAAGCUCCAGGAUUCUUCUUGGGGUAACGGUAGGUCAGAAGAAGCACCGGCCAACUACGUGCCAGCAGCCGCGGUA
This 515-nucleotide ribosomal RNA is filed under the name Mycobacterium sp. N343. Its description in RNAcentral is "bacterial SSU rRNA". It matches the Rfam family "Bacterial small subunit ribosomal RNA", at positions 1 to 522 of the family's 1533-position model. The record is from RNAcentral. Lineage: Bacteria; Bacillati; Actinomycetota; Actinomycetes; Mycobacteriales; Mycobacteriaceae.